AGAAGAUAGGAUUUUUGGGAUGUACGAAUACCACACCUCUGUCUCCCAAAAGGGCCUCCUCUCAAACGACGACGACGCCAGAGACCAGCGGUCGUGCGUCCUCACUCCUUGUGCGCUAUGGUCGCCUCCACAGGUUCUACAGGUUCGUCCAACACCUUAUGGCCUUUUCUUCUUCGUUAGUAGCGUAUACCGGUAUCUAGGGUUUUUCCAGUCUCUCCAUCUUCGCUGUCGUCAAUGUCGCCCUCGCCCUCACUCUUCUCCCUGACCUAGACAACAGGGAGUCAGCCCGUGUCGGAACUCGGAAGCUGGUUCGUCCAACACCUUAUGGUCUUUUCUUCUUCUUCAGUAGAGUAGACCGACAUCUAGGGUUUUCCAAUCUCUCGAAUAUUUGCUACCGUGAAUGUCGCCUUCGCGCUCGCUCUUCUCCCUGACCCCGACGAGAGGAAGUCAGUCCAUGUCGGAUCUGAAUGAUGGAGCUGCGACAAGGCGAAGGGCGGAGAGCUUACAUGGCUCCCUCGAGUCAAGAGGAGAUAGGAUUUUUGGUUUGUCAACCAUACCAUCGUUGUUCAAUGCUCUGAUUAAAAUGUGCCUAGCGAUUGAAACCUUCGAUACAUUGGAGCUCGGAGCUGCUGCUCUCAUGCAAAGGCUCCUGAGCGCGAGCGAUCAACAAGCCGACGUGCUGUCGCUGCUCGCUGGGGGGAAAGAAGAUCACACAGGUGUAAAAUAAGAGCUUGCUUCUGCUUACACAACAAAGCUUCAUGCUUCCCAAAUGUGCUACAACCCCUAAAGUACCAGGUAUCACUACUCGGAUAGUAAAAAUGUACAAAGCUUCAUGCUUCGCAAAUGUGCAACUCAUUGAAAAAACAGGAGCAUUCGGCCACUAAUGCUUUAUUACACAACAAUUAUGCAUUCAUGUACCCUAUUGUCACUACCGAAAUCUAGGCCUUUGCCGAGUGCCAGAAGAUUUGCCGAGUGCUUUUUGUCGGGCACUCGGCAAAGACGUCUUUGCCGAGCGUCGCACUCGGCAAAGUCCCACACUCGGUAACGAGGUCGUUUACCGAGUGCAGGACACUCGGUACACAAACACACUCGGCAAAGACUUUUUUGCCGAGUACUGAACUCUCGGCAAAGGCGGCGCUCGGCAAAUAGCCGUCAGUGGCCGUCUAAAGCUGACGGCCGUUAACAUUUGCCGAGGGCCGGUGGUUGGUGUGGCAGAACCUCCAAGUUAUCGGGCCCACAUGCAUCUGUCCUUGUCUCAAAGACCUCAGACGGCCAUGCAUGUGCACCAGAUAACUUAACAGGAUCCGUCCGAUUGCCCCAAGGACACCGGAUAAGCCACUUACAACCAGAACCGCGGGAUUAAGUAACACAAAUCACACACACCAAUAUUUUUGCAGCGAAAAUCUUAUUACCAAAUUUUACAAGUUACAAAAAAUUUAUAUUAUUUUAUCGGAGUGAUUACAAAAGUAUAAGUUUGAAAUAUAUGCUAGCUCAAAUGACCAUCCUCAGUAAGAAGAUAAAGACGGGUUAUACUUAUAUAAGAAGGCCGAGCCCACCGGCACUUAACACCAUCACAGCAGCACAAAGUUAUAUCCUGAAAAACAACAGGGAAUAAAACCCUGAGUAUGGAAUUACUCAGCAAGACUUACCCGACUAAAGAAAAGACUCUCAAGGAUAUGCUGGAUUUGGGAAUCAAGGAGAGGCUUUAACAAGAAUCAACUUAGAUACUUUUGCAAAAAGAGCUUACUAAAGUGAGUCCUUACUUUCAAUAUUUUAACGCUAGAUUAAAUAUUAAUAGACUAUGUUUGCAUCUGGUCUAAUUUCACCAUCUCAUCAAUACAACAUCAUUUUUAUUCAUGAGGUUCACAUCCUGACUUAGGUUGCAGGUCAGUGAUCAAGUCUCCACUCUCCGGGGAUAUAACUGCGAUCCGAAUCGAUUUACUCAGCUGAGGAUCUCUAACCACACGACAUAUGUAGCACUUAACCCUUGCAUAUGUCAACCGUUCCCACAGAUCCUCCACAACGUGAACCGGUCCGCGCUACCCGGGAGCACAGUACUCCUCCAUCCAGCCUCUAGCCAGGAGGGCACACGCUACUCCCACCAUCUCCCACGCCCAGUGCACGGUUGUCUUUUCACGUAUGGAAUAGCCGGGUUCAAGCUUACCCUGUCCCAUUUCCAGGGCAUGUGGCCAGUUAAGAUAGUCCUUGAUCUAUCAGGCCUACAUACGCAUCCAAUCCUUAAUUGACCCGGGCGGAGCAUCACCUGUUCCUAGCCCAAGUCCCGAUUUAAGUACUUCCACCCUUAGGAUUGUUUGUAUUCCUUAGGAUGAAAAGAGCAUCAAAGGGAACUUUGCAGUAAGAUCCCACCACGCUCUCACUGAAAAUAUUCUUGCAGGUAGAAGCCAUCUUUCCUCAGGAUAACCCCUGAGCUAGGCCUUAAUGCAAAAGACAACCUCUAUCCACAAGAUCUGAGCAGGGCUAAGCAUUUUUGUAAAUCAUGUUUUGAUACUUCACCAGAAGUAUCUAUAAAGUUAUGGAUAUCAAGGAAGGCAGUGCAUCAAAGGGUUCCAAGCAACUCCUAUAAACCUAAUGCACAUUUCACUAGACUUAAAGUGUGCAAAAAUUAUUUAAAAACACAAGGAAGGGGUUGCAUGCACCGGGGCUUGCCUGGAUAACACUAGGUUAGUGUUGUUAGACGACGUCCACUUGACGAUCAUCCUUGUCCUAACACUUGAUUAGGUGGGUUCGUCCAUCAGCACCACCAUGCGGAGUAGCCCAUGCUUGAGGUCGACUUGACUCAUCUUUCGCAUCACACGAUUAUUUAACGUACCUAAAUGAAAUGCAUUAUGCACAUGAAUGCAUAUCAACAGGAACAACACAAAUCUAAAUAGUGCUAUACGAUAGCGCAUUAAAUACCUAGUGGCGAGGCACAUAAUAAUAUUUAAAAGCAAUUACCAGAUGCCAGGAUAUUACUAAGCACAAUGUCCGCGCUAUUUUAACUUAACCGAAUCUGACUUGAAGAAGAAGCGCUAAUACGAAACACAAGUCCUAUAUAUAUUUCUAAGCUAGAGAAUACAUCAAAAGGCGGACUAGACUUAGGCUGAUUAUUUAGGGACACCUAACUCAGUCUAAGGAUAGAGACUAUUAAUUCUAAUAUUUCGGCUAAUAGGAAUAACAAAAAUGCGCGCCAAUAUUAAAUUCAGCUCAAAUCCACUAAUACUAAUUUCACGUGAAACUACGGCAUCGAUAGUGGGUUCUAGUUCGAGUCUUUCCUCAAACCAAUAGAAUUGGACACUCGAGAAGAACACGUCAGCUAGCUGUUAGAAACACUAAACCUAUCCCGCACAUCAUCGUUAUACCUCCCGUCGAAAACGUAGAACUGAUUUAAACGUACCAGACCUACACGUCUACCUAAGCACUCCUUGUCUAAUUUACAUUGUCAUCAAUCUAAGACAUUUAAUCGGUUACCGAACAUAAAAAAUAACUACUACUAGAGCUGAGCAUCUAUUAUAUCUUAAUAAUUAAAAGCGUCAUAACACUGAAAAAUAGUUGGCUAGCCGAUAAAAAUCCCAACAUAUCCUUCACAUAACCUACGAACUGACGAAUGCUAGAUGAUGCGAUUAAUUCAACAUAUAUCACUUUUGCUAAAAAUACGAGAAUCAACAUAACCUACAUAACUAUCGAUUCAUUUAUUAAAACAAAUAAUAAAAAUAGAGAAUCAGCUCACCAUAAUCAACUCGACUCAAUAUUCGCAAGAACGACGACAGGAACAGGAAGGUGGCUGAGCGGGUUGACGGUGAGCGGCUCCGACAGGAUGAAGGAUGGAGCGACUGAUGAUGGCGUUGGGGAAAUUCAUGAGCAGGCAUCAGGAAGCGGCUCGGCGAGCAUCAGCGUGGAGCUAGGAACAGCAUCCAGGCGAGCGGCCAUGGGAACAGAAGCAAAGGCGCGGGUGCUCCGGUGCCGGCGAGUGCGGACCAGACGAAGUCCCAUGACUAUGGCUUGGUGUGCUGGUGUAGAGGAGAACCGAGACGCUACGAUGAGGAGUCUGGCCGGCGGAGAAACACGACCACGCCGCUGAAAAUGACGGCGUACAGGAGCUGCUCAUGCACAAAUACGAGGGAGGACGAAGCAGGGACGUGAGCAGCUCGGUGCGGUGGGGAGCAGUGAUGCGAGCAGCUUGACGCUGAUGAUGAAGGCCAGGACGAGGUCGUCGGCGCUGAUGUGUUGAGUACAAGGGCAAGGAGGAAGCAGGAAGGGACGCUUGGCGUUGUCCGGCCUAGGUGAGCGGCACGAUGGCGGGCGAGGACGUUACGAGGAUGCUGGCGGUCUGCGUGAGAGACUUCCAGCGAUGCAAUAAUGCACAAGAUAAGAGCAAGGCUGGCAAGAUUUCAGAGGGUACGUGGUUCUUCUAAGCCACGUCUGGAGCAUGCACUAGAAGAAGAUAAGAACGUACACGUUGAGGAGCAUUCUCUGGAAGAAGAUAUUUCACAAACGUUCUCACCAAUUGCAAGUUCUCAUGAACGUUUAUUUUGUAUUUUUUUUUCUAAGGAGCCGACAUCUUAUCUAGGAUAAGGGUUUAAAAGGGAUAACAAGGGAUUGACCCAAAAUAAUAUCCGGCAAAAUAAUUUAGACAGUUCAGACAAACAGAAACAGAUAAGAUAUUGAAAAUCGUAACAGACGAAGACGACUAAAAUUUAGUGACUAUUAUAUUCAUCGAUAUCCCGUACUUAAGUCCAUAGUCGAUAUCCAACAGGAGAUAAACACCUGGGGUGUUACAGCCCUCCCCCCUUAAAAGAAUCUCGUCCCGAGAUUCGGAGCAAAAGACUUUUAAGAGCAGAGAAGAAUGUAACUUCUGUCCAUAUCAGCGAUCACAUAAUACAGUUCCAAGCAAAGGCGAGUGUCUCAGGAUGGGGUUUCUCUAGUGGACAUAACAUGUAUCGCUUUAGGCCAAUUUAGAGAUGUCCAACAAUAGAGACGAGGUCUGCCAGAAGAACACAUAAGGUUCCAUGUGUGCAGUUUGCUUUUUCUGAUGACACUAUAUUAUCUGAGUCUGUUGGGCGAGCGGUAAUUAUAUCUCUUUACCCAAACAGAACCAGAUGCAACCUCUUGGGUAAAACACACAGAAAGAGGUUUACCAACAAGUGGUUAUGGUAAGUUCAUAUCACACGAUACGGGUGUGAAGGUCGAAUAAUAUCACAGUUGACCCGUGGCUAGCCCGAAAAUCCAAGUUCAAGAAAAAUGAUAGAGACUCGGAAAAUAUCAAUGAAGAGAUCCGUUGAUGUUGACUUCGCAACCAAUCCAUUUUAUCGAGCACUAUGCAUGGCUCGACUUGAUCACACAUGCUGGAAAAGCACACGUGAGGCAAUCGAGGCAUGACUAGAGCAAUAAUUAGGUGGUUACCAGUCUACUUAACUUGCUUCUUAUAAGUACUUUCUCAGGAUGGGUUGAACCAAAGUGAGUUUAGACAACUCGACAAAACGAUCUCUAAACUCAACCUUUGAUCACAAUGCAGUUACAAGUUAGUAAAACCAACUUGUCGAACUACCUUUGACAUUGAGCAAGUCCUCUUAUUAUCCAUCGGCAAUUCAAUGGUCAAGAGUUCACUCUUGUUAACAGGAGAUCAUGCACUUGGGUAAAAAUCCAUUUGGUCAGAUUGUUCAUCCGUUUCUCCAUGCGAGAUGAACUAACUUGGUUCAGAAAUACAUGGAUUAAAUAAGAGAGCGAAUGAACAAACUCCUGCAUCUCAGCAGCAGGGGAAGUCAAUCUCCAUUUGAGAGCUAAUUAGCUGUUUUCCAACACUAAAAAGCUUCAAGGCUUCACCUUUACAAGGGACGUAAAGGGAACUUGUAUGAGUAGUCACCACCAAGAUCAAAAGAAAAGAGACCACAUAUGAAAGUGGGAUGCCCUUUUGAUCCAACAGAGAUGAUAAAUGUUGCUUGAUCACUCGACAAACAACAUAGAAAUUGUUUCAAGGGAAAGUCCACGGAAGAUAACACAUUAGAGUAGUUCCAUAAUGGAUCAUGACUAGAGACCUCGAUACCAGCAUGCGCCAAGCAGCAUAGCCUUGCGUGUACAUUAACAAGGGGCUCUCAGUUUCGCUGCGGCACCAUAAGUCGUUAAUCGUGACACCAUUACCAAACAGGCACCAAUAAUGAAUCUCACAUGGUAAGAAUAAUUUGUGACAAGAUAACACAUUGAUAUAGUCUCAUAAUGGAUUAUAACUACUAACUGUGAUACCAGCGCGUGCCGAGUAGCGCAACCAUGUGUAUGCAUCCACAGGAGGCCCUCGGUUUCGUCGCGGCACCAUCAAUUUUAGUCACAACACCAUUAUCAGACGUAACCAAUAACAAAUCUCGCACUGCACAAAUAGACUGAGUCUGAAUGACAAUAUUCAAAAAAGACUCCACCUGUAAGAAUGGUUACAAGUAGAGAGCCAAAUAGAUCAUGGCCCGAUGAAGUGAACACGACAUGGCCAUAACCUAAACUGGGUGGUGAGGGAGUCUUCAGCCCCAAGCAUAUCUCUAUGCCCAUCGCAGAGAGUACAAGGGUCAAGGAAUUAGUAUCUGAUUAGAUACAGAGGGGAAACAAUCAUAAGAUUAAGUUGGUAUGCCUUCGAUAGGUAUGGGGGAAAUCAAAGGCAUCAAAUUCAAGAAAAUGGUCGAACAUACUUUUCCUAGGUUGGGUUGAUAAUUCAACAUGGCGAUCCUUAAGAACAGGCGAACUGGUUAAGGUACAUCAGCUUGCACCAAUAAACAAGGGAAUGGUUUUAGAAGGAAACAUGACUCGAGAUUCUUGUUUAAGCCUAGGCACAAUUUAUGUCCAACAAAGAAAUUAUCUACGCAUUUAUUUGCAUGGGUUUAGUCAUGGAGUGAUAACGGAAAAUUCAAAUUUGGGUCAUGGUUCACUAAAUAAGAACAUGGCCUAGUUUUGGGUUUAGGCAAUCAAAUUACCAACCUUCUAUCGGCACAUCAAGCACAAGAGCAAACACAUAUAACACCUAAACAGAUUACCUCAAGAACGGAGGACAACUAUUUCAUCAAAGUUCAUAAUAACGCAUUACACCACAUUAUCUACAAUCACUGGUUACUGGAAUAAAGAUGAGAGAAGCAUUUUGGGUGUAUAGGUGACAAACAUGAUGCAACAAUUAGGAUGCAUGCUCGUCCUAUUCGUCCUCACUAAUUUUGCCAACAUAUUGUGGCAAUAACGUUCUAUAUCGGUGGCAUACGUUCUCUCACGGUAAUUUGCCAGUCGUCAACUACACAUACGUUUUCGAGGUUAGUGUACCUGCAGAAAAAUCCAUCACAACCCAAUUCCCAAUGAUGCAAGUCACACAUGACAGUGUAUCACAGUUUAUACUCCAUAUAUUGCUAUAUGGAGACCAGCUCAUCAUUAAGCGCCGAGCCACGCAUAGGCGCCGUUGCCACACUUUAACCAUAGGGCAACUCAUUAUGGUAACUCACCUUCUUACCUGAGCGUAGGUGCGUCGUUACAAGUACAUUACAUUUCCCAGUAUUCCCAUGUCUGUAUACCCAUACACAUUCAUGGGGUACUGAAUUCCUAGAAAAGUAAUUACUCCACAUCGCAGCCUUCAUAUAUACAUAUGUGGAACAUGUAUAUAAUCAAGCGCUUUUUAUACUCUUCCCUAGACCGACGGUUGUUCGGUCAUGCUCUCACAUCUCACCUUACCUGAGCGUCGAUCCAUUCAAAACUGAAUGGCCUCAAAAAUAACAAUACACAUGUAUGCAAUACCCCCGGUUGUGGUUUUCAACUAAGCCACCUGAUAGUCCUUAACUUAGGGCUUAAUAGAGGAUGUCGCUAGCAUUAUAGUUUUUCAAAGCUGUUUUUCAAAGCCAACCUAUGUGUUUAGUUGAAAAUAGGUUUUUCAAAACCAAAACUUUUGUUUUGAAAAUACGUAUGUGACCGUAUAUACUUAAUCUCGCUCCAAUACCAGCUGUGGCAGAACCUCCAAGUUAUCGGGCCCACAUGCAUCUGUCCUUGUCUCAAAGACCUCAGACGGCCAUGCAUGUGCACCAGAUAACUUAACAGGAUCCGUCCGAUUGCCCCAAGGACACCGGAUAAACCACUUACAACCAGAACUGCGGGAUUAAUUAACACAAAUCACACACACCAAUAUUUUUGCAGCGGAAAUCUUAUUACCAAAUUUUACAAGUUACAAAAAAUUUAUAUUAUUUUAUCGGAGUGAUUACAAAAGUAUAAGUUUGAAAUAUAUGCUAGCUCAAAUGACCAUCCUCAGUAAGAAGAUAAAGACGGGUUAUACUUAUAUAAGAAGGCCGAGCCCACCGGCACUUAACACCAUCACAGCAGCACAAAGUUAUAUCCUGAAAAACAACAGGGAAUAAAACCCUGAGUAUGGAAUUACUCAGCAAGACUUACCCGACUAAAGAAAAGACUCUCAAAGAUAUGCUGGAUUUGGGAAUCAAGGAGAGGCUUUAACAAGAAUCAACUUAGAUACUUUUGCAAAAAGAGCUUACUAAAGUGAGUCCUUACUUUCAAUAUUUUAACGCCAGAUUAAAUAUUAAUAGACUAUGUUUGCAUCUGGUCUAAUUUCACCAUCUCAUCAAUACAACAUCAUUUUUAUUCAUGAGGUUCACAUCCUGACUUAGGUUGCAGGUCAGUGAUCAAGUCUCCACUCUCCGGGGAUAUAACGGCGAUCCGAAUUGAUUUACUCAGCUGAGGAUCUCUAACCACACGACAUAUGUAGCACUUAACCCUUGCAUAUGUCAACCGUUCCCACAGAUCCUCCACAACGUGAACCGGUCCGCGCUACCCGGGAGCACAGUACUCCUCCAUCCAGCCUCUAGCCAGGAGGGCACACGCUACUCCCACCAUCUCCCACGCCCAGUGCGCGGUUGUCUUUUCACGUAUGGAAUAGCCGGGUUCAAGCUUACCCUGUCCCAUUUCCAGGGCAUGUGGCCAGUUAAGAUAGUCCUUGAUCUAUCAGGCCUACAUACGCAUCCAAUCCUUAAUUGACCCGGGCGGAGCAUCACCUGUUCCUAACCCAAGUCCCGAUUUAAGUACUUCCACCCUUAGGAUUGUUUGUAUUCCUUAGGAUGAAAAGAGCAUCAAAGGGAACUUUGCAGUAAGAUCCCACCACGCUCUCACUGAAAAUAUUCUUGCAGGUAGAAGCCAUCUUUCCUCAGGAUAACCCCUGAGCUAGGCCUUAAUGCAAAAGACAACCUCUAUCCACAAGAUCUGAGCAGGGCUAAGCAUUUUUGUAAAUCAUGUUUUGAUACUUCACCAGAAGUAUCUAUAAAGUUAUGGAUAUCAAGGAAGGCAGUGCAUCAAAGGGUUCCAAGCAACUCCUAUAAACCUAAUGCACAUUUCACUAGACUUAAAGUGUGCAAAAAUUAUUUAAAAACACAAGGAAGGGGUUGCAUGCACCGGGGCUUGCCUGGAUAACACUAGGUUAGUGUUGUUAGACGACGUCCACUUGACGAUCAUCCUUGUCCUAACACUUGAUUAGGUGGGUUCGUCCAUCAGCACCACCAUGCGGAGUAGCCCAUGCUUGAGGUCGACUUGACUCAUCUUUCGCAUCACACGAUUAUUUAACGUACCUAAAUGAAAUGCAUUAUGCACAUGAAUGCAUAUCAACAGGAACAACACAAAUCUAAAUAGUGCUAUACGAUAGCGCAUUAAAUACCUAGUGGCGAGGCACAUAAUAAUAUUUAAAAGCAAUUACCAGAUGCCAGGAUAUUACUAAGCACAAUGUCCGCGCUAUUUUAACUUAACCGAAUCUGACUUGAAGAAGAAGCGCUAAUACGAAACACAAGUCCUAUAUAUAUUUCUAAGCUAGAGAAUACAUCAAAAGGCGGACUAGACUUAGGCUGAUUAUUUAGGGACACCUAACUCAGUCUAAGGAUAGAGACUAUUAAUUCUAAUAUUUCGGCUAAUAGGAAUAACAAAAAUGCGCGCCAAUAUUAAAUUCAGCUCAAAUCCACUAAUACUAAUUUCACGUGAAACUACGGCAUCGAUAGUGGGUUCUAGUUCGAGUCUUUCCUCAAACCAAUAGAAUUGGACACUCGAGAAGAACACGUCAGCUAGCUGUUAGAAACACUAAACCUAUCCCGCACAUCAUCGUUAUACCUCCCGUCGAAAACGUAGAACUGAUUUAAACGUACCAGACCUACACGUCUACCUAAGCACUCCUUGUCUAAUUUACAUUGUCAUCAAUCUAAGACAUUUAAUCGGUUACCGAACAUAAAAAAUAACUACUACUAGAGCUGAGCAUCUAUUAUAUCUUAAUAAUUAAAAGCGUCAUAACACUGAAAAAUAGUUGGCUAGCCGAUAAAAAUCCCAACAUAUCCUUCACAUAACCUACGAACUGACGAAUGCUAGAUGAUGCGAUUAAUUCAACAUAUAUCACUUUUGCUAAAAAUACGAGAAUCAACAUAACCUACAUAACUAUCGAUUCAUUUAUUAAAACAAAUAAUAAAAAUAGAGAAUCAGCUCACCAUAAUCAACUCGACUCAAUAUUCGCAAGAACGACGACAGGAACAGGAAGGUGGCUGAGCGGGUUGACGGUGAGCGGCUCCGACAGGAUGAAGGAUGGAGCGACUGAUGAUGGCGUUGGGGAAAUUCAUGAGCAGGCAUCAGGAAGCGGCUCGGCGAGCAUCAGCGUGGAGCUAGGAACAGCAUCCAGGCGAGCGGCCAUGGGAACAGAAGCAAAGGCGCGGGUGCUCCGGUGCCGGCGAGUGCGGACCAGACGAAGUCCCAUGACUAUGGCUUGGUGUGCUGGUGUAGAGGAGAACCGAGACGCUACGAUGAGGAGUCUGGCCGGCGGAGAAACACGACCACGCCGCUGAAAAUGACGGCGUACAGGAGCUGCUCAUGCACAAAUACGAGGGAGGACGAAGCAGGGACGUGAGCAGCUCGGUGCGGUGGGGAGCAGUGAUGCGAGCAGCUUGACGCUGAUGAUGAAGGCCAGGACGAGGUCGUCGGCGCUGAUGUGUUGAGUACAAGGGCAAGGAGGAAGCAGGAAGGGACGCUUGGCGUUGUCCGGCCUAGGUGAGCGGCACGAUGGCGGGCGAGGACGUUACGAGGAUGCUGGCGGUCUGCGUGAGAGACUUCCAGCGAUGCAAUAAUGCACAAGAUAAGAGCAAGGCUGGCAAGAUUUCAGAGGGUACGUGGUUCUUCUAAGCCACGUCUGGAGCAUGCACUAGAAGAAGAUAAGAACGUACACGUUGAGGAGCAUUCUCUGGAAGAAGAUAUUUCACAAACGUUCUCACCAAUUGCAAGUUCUCAUGAACGUUUAUUUUGUAUUUUUUUUUUCUAAGGAGCCGACAUCUUAUCUAGGAUAAGGGUUUAAAAGGGAUAACAAGGGAUUGACCCAAAAUAAUAUCCGGCAAAAUAAUUUAGACAGUUCAGACAAACAGAAACAGAUAAGAUAUUGAAAAUCGUAACAGACGAAGACGACUAAAAUUUAGUGACUAUUAUAUUCAUCGAUAUCCCGUACUUAAGUCCAUAGUCGAUAUCCAACAGGAGAUAAACACCUGGGGUGUUACAGUUGGCACUUGGCAAAGAGGUUUCUUUGCCGAGUGUCAACCAGCUGACACUCGGCAAAGGCCUAUUUACCGAGUGCCUUCUUUGGGCACUCGGCAAAGUAUAUUUUUAUUUUUUAAAUUUUAUCAACCAAACUUUUUGUGGUAUGUUCCUACACUACGUAGACCUACAUGUACCAUUUCGGGACAAUUAUAACAGUGUUUUUGUAAUGCCCUGGAUUUGGGGGUAGAAUUUUUUUCUUCUUUUCACUCACCAAAUUUGGGUGUUACUCUCUUUUCUCUUCCCGUUUCGCUUCCUUCUUCCCAAUUUCAAACCAGUAUAGUGACAGGUGUCCGUGUUAUGUAUAAACCAAAACCUAAGUGUCAUGGGUGUUGCAUCAUGCCAAACCGCAUUUCUUUGUCUGAUGUCGCGUGUCCGUCCCGUUCCGUCUCAGAUUUUGGUUCGCGAUUAGAGCCCAUUUGAUGGUCGUGUGUGUCGUGGGUUUCGAUCCGCGAUGUGACCCUGUCCGGCCCGGCCCAGCCUGCGCGCCCCUGCCCUCCCCCUGCGCGCCCCCUUCCCCAGACCCGUUUGGCUCAUUUGAUUUUUUUCCCGCGCAGCAACCUCUCUCUCUCUCCCGUGGUGCCCUAGGUUUUGGAGAAGGUGAUCGCCGGAGUUGGAUCCCCGAGGUGAGCCCCCUCCCUUCUCCUCUCUCUCCCUCCCCCGCGCGGCCCACCUCUCCCUCCCCGCGGCGGCGCGGCACGACCCCGCCCCGGCCCCCUGCGCGGCGGCGCUCGCCCCCGCCUCGGCCCCCGGCGCAGCGCUCGCCCCUGCCCCUCCCCUUCCCCCCGGCGCGGCGCUCGCCCCCGCCCCUGCUUCCCCCGCGGCGGCAUAGCCCGCCCACCCCCCUGCUCCCUCCCCCGUGCGGCCCUGCCCCCCCGGCGGCGGUUCCCGGCCCUGGUGGCGGUCCCCGGCCCCGGCGCAGCCCGCCCGCCCCCUCUCCCUCCCCCGCGCGGCCCUGCCCCCCCGGCGGCGGUUCUCGGCCCCAGUGGCGGUCCCCGGCCCCGGCGCAGCCCGCUCGCCCCCCUGCUCCCUCCCCCGCGGCGGUCCGGCCCUCGGCGCGGCGGUCCGGCCCCCAGCGCGCGGACCCGGCCCCCGGCGCGGCGUUCCCGGCCCCCUGCGCGCGGCGUCCCGGCCCCCCGGCACGACUCGCGUGGCCUCGACGUGGCCUCGCGCUCCCCCGUUUACCCCUAACAUGUUCCCGCGUGAGCAACCCCACGCGCGCGGUGUUUAUUCUUGGUUUUUAAUUAAUUUCAAACUCCGUUAGUUAGCAUGCUACGUCGCGCGCUUCGCCACACGACAAAUUUGUUUAAUUUCAGAUUCUAUUAAUGUGUUGCGUCGCGCGCUUCGUCGCGCGACGAUCCAUUUUAAUUUCAGGUUGUCUAAUGUGUGACGUCGCGCGUCCAGUCACGCGACGUUCCACUUUAAACUCAGUUCUGUGGACGUAUGCCGUCGUGUGUUUCGUCGCGCGAUGCUUAACGUCUCUUUAUAAUUAAUGCAAGUGUCUCGUCGUGCGCUCUGUCGCAUGACGAGUCGUUGAUUUCUUAAUUUGAUUUAGAGUGUUAUGUUGCGUGUCCCGCUGCGCGACAAUCCUUUUAAUUUAUCUUCAUCUGCUUAUAAUGAUUAGACAUGAAACAUGACUUUACUUUAUGCUAAACUUAGUAUCCAAACUAAUGCCCUUCGGUUAAGCGAGUGGUUUAAUUUAUAAUAAUGUAACGUGAUCGUUUCUCGACUGUCUUUUCCUCUUUCUCUCUUAACCGUAAUUGCGAGCCCGCGUGGAACGUCUGUUUAUUUAUUGCAUCCUAUUGUAUGGUGUACUGUUCUUUUGUAUUAAAUGUGUGGAUGUAUGUAUGUUUGCGCUCGCAUAGAGAACGAUCUGGUUGAAGAGCCCGAAGAGCUUGCAGGAGAAGCCCCUGAGCAGCAGUCGGUUGGUGGAGGCAAGUCUCCCUUAACCUAUCUCUGUCCUAUACAUUCUUUAAUUCACCUCCUGAAAGGGAAUUAGGCUUACACCUAGUUCCCAAAUAAUUUUGGUGGUUGAAUUGCCCAACACAAAUAAUCGGACUAACUAGUUUGCCCAAGUGUAUAGAUUAUACAGGUGUAAAAGGUUCACACUCAGCCAAUAAAAAGACCAAGUUUUGGAUUCAACAAAGGAGCAAAAGGGGCAACCGAAGGCACCCCUGGUCUGGCGCACCGGACUGUCCGGUGCGCCACCGGACAUGUCCGGUGCACCAGGGGGACUCAGUCUCAAACUCGCCACCUUCGGGAAUUCCCUGAGGCGACUCGGCUAUAAUUCACCGGACUGUCCGGUGUACACCGGACAGUGUCCGGUGCGCCAAAGGAGGUCGGCCUCAGGAACUCGCCUGCUUCGGGAAACUCCAACGGCUAGUCCGCUAAAAUUCACCGGACUGUCCGGUGUGCACCGGACUGUCCGGUGCGACUCCGGAGCAACGGUCAUCUCCGCGCCAACGGCUCUCUGCCGCGCAUUUAAUGCGCGCUCUGCGCGCGCAGGAGUCAGGAUCGCCCAUGCUGGCACACCGGACAGCAAACAGUACAUGUCCGGUGUGCACCGGACACCCAGGCGGGCCCACAAGUCAGAAGCUCCAACGGUCAGAAUCCAACGGCAGUGAUGACGUGGCAGGGGGCACCGGACUGUCCGGUGUGCACCGGACUGUCCGGUGCGCCAUCGAGCAGACAGCCUCCCAACGACCACUUUUGGUGGUUGGGGCUAUAAAUACCCCAACCACCCCACCAUUCAUUGCAUCCAAGUUUUUCACUUCCUAACUACUACAAGAGCUCUAGCAUUCAAUUCUAGACACACCAAAGAGAUCAAAUCCUCUCCAAUUCCACACAAAGCCCUAGCGACUAGUGAGAGUGAUUUGCCGUGUUCAUUUAAGCUCUUGCGCUUGGAUUGCUUCUUUUCUUUCUCACUUGUUCUUGUGAUCAAUACUCCAUUGUAAUCAAGGCAAGAGGCACCAAUUGUGUGGUGGCCCUUGCGGGGAAGUUUUGUUCCCGGCUUUGAUUUGAGAAGAGAAGCUCACUCGGUCCGAGGGACCGUUUGAGAGAGGGAAGGGUUGAAAGAGACCCGGCCUUUGUGGCCUCCUCAACGGGGAGUAGGUUUGAGAGAACCGAACCUCGGUAAAACAAAUCCGUGUGUCACACUUCAUUAUUUGCUCGCGAUUUGUUUUGCGCCCUCUCUCGCGGACUCGUUUAUAUUUCUGACGCUAACCCGGCUUGUAGUUGUGUUUAUAUUUGUAAAUUUCAGUUUCGCCCUAUUCACCCCCCCUCUAGGCGACUAUCAAUUGGUAUCAGAACCCGGUGCUUCAUUAGAGCCUAACCGCUCGAAGUGAUGUCGGGAGAUCACGCCAAGAAGGAGAUGGAGACCGGCGAAAAGCCCACUACAAGCCACGGGAGCACUUCAUCGGAAGAGUCCCGCACCAAGAGGAAGGAGAAGAAGAAGAACUCCUCCAAACGGAAGGAGAAAAAGUCUUCCUCUUCUCACCACAAAGAGAGGAAGGAAAAAUCUUCUUCCCACAAGCCGCAUCGGAAAGGCGACAAGCACAAAAGGAUGAGGAAAGUGGUCUACUACGAGACCGACACUUCAUCAACAUCCACCUCCGACUCCGAUGCGCCCUCCGUCACUUCUAAGCGCCAAGAGCGCAAGAAGUAUAGUAAGAUCCCCCUACACUACGCUCGCAUUUCCAAACAUACACCUUUACUUUCCGUCCCAUUAGGCAAACCACCAACUUUUGAUGGUGAAGAUUACGCUAGGUGGAGCGAUUUAAUGCGAUUUCAUCUAACCUCGCUCCACAAAAGUAUAUGGGAUGUUGUUGAGUUUGGUGCACAGGUACCGUCAGUAGGGGAUGAGGACUAUGAUGAGGAUGAGGUGGCCCAAAUCGAGCACUUCAACUCUCAAGCAACAACAAUACUCCUCGCCUCUCUAAGUAGAGAGGAGUAUAACAAAGUUCAAGGGUUGAAGAGCGCCAAGGAGAUUUGGGAUGUGCUCAAAACCGCGCACGAGGGAGACGAGCUCACCAAGAUCACCAAGAGGGAAACGAUCGAGGGGGAGCUCGGUCGGUUCCGGCUUCGCAAAGGGGAGGAGCCACAACACAUGUACAACCGGCUCAAGACCUUGGUGAAUCAAGUGCGCAACCUCGGGAGCGUAAAGUGGGAUGACCACGAGAUGGUUAAGGUUAUUCUAAGAUCCCUUAUUUUCCUUAACCCUACUCAAGUUCAAUUAAUCCGUGGUAAUCCUAGAUAUACUAAAAUGACCCCCGAGGAAGUUAUUGGGAAUUUUGUGAGUUUUGAGUGCAUGAUCGAAGGCUCGAGGAAGAUCAACGAGCUUGAUGAUGCCACCACAUCCGAAGCUCAACCCGUUGCAUUCAAGGCAACGGAGGAGAAGAAGGAGGAGUCUACACCAAGUCGACAACCAAUAGACGCCUCCAAGCUCGACAAUGAGGAAAUGGCGCUUGUCAUCAAAAGCUUCCGCCAAAUCCUCAAGCAAAGGAGGGGGAAGGAUUACAAGUCCCGCUCCAAGAAGGUUUGCUACAAGUGUGGUAAGCCCGGUCAUUUUAUUGCUAAAUGUCCUAUAUCUAGUGACAGUGACCGAGGUGACGACAAGAAGGGGAGGCGAAAGGAGAAGAAGAGGUACUACAAGAAGAAGGGCGGUGAUGCCCAUGUUUGUCGGGAGUGGGACUCCGACGAAAGCUCAAGCGACUCCUCCGACGACGAGGACGCCGCCAACAUCGCCGUCACCAAGGGACUUCUCUUCCCCAACGUCGGCCACAAGUGCCUCAUGGCAAAGGACGGCAAAAGGAAGAAGGUUAAAUCCAACUCCUCCACCAAAUAUGAAUCGUCUAGUGAUGAUAAUGCUAGUGGUGAGGAAGAUAAUUUGCGCAUCCUUUUUGCCAAUCUUAACAUGGAACAAAAAGAAAAAUUAAAUGAGCUAAUUAGUGCCAUCCAUGAAAAGGAUGAUCUCUUGGACUCCCAAGAGGACUUCCUAAUCAAGGAAAAUAAGAAACAUGUUAAGGUUAAAAAUGCUUACUCUCUACAAGUUGAAAAAUGUGAAAAAUUGUCUAGUGAGCUAAGCACUUGCCGUGAGAUGAUUGACAACCUUAGAAAUGAAAAUGCUAGUUUAAAUGCUAAAGUUGAUUCUCAUGUUUGUAAUGUUUCAAUUCCCAAUCCUAGAGAUAAUAAUGAUGAUUUGCUUGCUAGGAUUGAAGAAUUAAACAUUUCUCUUGCUAGCCUUAGAUUAGAGAAUGAAAAUUUGAUUGCUAAUGCUAAAGAUUUUGAUGUUUGCAAAGUUACAAUUGCCGAUCUUAGAGAUAAGAAUGAUAUACUUUGUGCUAAGAUUGUUGAACUUAAUUCUUGCAAACCAUCUACAUCUACCAUUGAGCAUGUCACUAUUUGUACUAGAUGUAGAAAUAUUGAUAUUGAUGCUAUUCAUGAUCAUAUGGCUUUAAUUAAACAACAAAAUGAUCAUAUAGCAAAACUAGAUGCUAAAAUUGCCGAGCACAACUUAGAAAAUGAGAAAUUUAAAUUUGCUCAUAGCAUGCUUUAUAAUGGGAGACGCCCUGGCAUCAAGGAUGGCAUUGGCUUCCAAAGGGGAAACAAUGUCAAACUUAAUGCCUCUCCAAAGAACCUAUCCAACUUUGUUAAAGGCAAGGCUCCCAUGCCUCAGGAUAACGAGGGUUACAUUUUGUACCCUGCCAGCUAUCCUGAGAGCAAAAUUAGGAAAAUUCAUUCUAGGAAGUCUCACUCUGGCCCUAAUCAUGCUUUUAUGUAUAAGGGUGAGACAUCUAGCUCUAGGCAACCAACCCGUGCCAAGUUGCCUAGAAAGGAAGCUCCUAUUGCAUCAAAUGAUCAUGUUAUUUCAUUUAAAACUUUUGAUGCUUCUUAUGUGCUUACAAGCAAAUCCGGCAAGGUAGUUGCCAAAUUUGUUGGGGGCAAACACAAGGGAUCAAAAACUUGUGUUUGGGUACCCAAAGUUCUUGUUUCUAAUGCCAAAGGACCCAAAACCGUUUGGGUACCUAAAGUCAAGAACUAAAUUUGUUUUAUAGGUUUAUGCAUCCGGGGGCUCAAGUUGGAUACUCGACAGCGGGUGCACAAACCACAUGACAGGGGAGAAAAGGAUGUUCUCCUCAUAUGAGAAAAACCAAGAUCCCCAACGAGCUAUCACAUUCGGGGAUGGAAAUCAAGGUUUGGUCAAAGGAUUGGGUAAAAUUGCUAUAUCAUCUGACCAUACUAUUUCCAAUGUUUUUCUCGUUGAUUCAUUAGAUUACAAUUUGCUUUCCGUUUCACAAUUAUGUCAAAUGGGCUACAACUGUCUCUUUACUGAUGUAGGUGUCACUGUCUUUAGAAGAAGUGAUGAUUCAAUAGCAUUUAAGGGUGUGUUAGAGGGUCAGCUAUACUUGGUAGAUUUUGAUAGAGUUGAACUCGACACAUGCUUAAUUGCUAAGACUAACAUGGGUUGGCUCUGGCACCGCCGACUAGCCCAUGUUGGGAUGAAGAAUCUUCAUAAGCUUCUAAAGGGAGAGCACAUUUUAGGAUUAACAAAUGUUCAUUUUGAGAAAGACAGGAUUUGUAGCGCAUGCCAGGCGGGGAAGCAAGUUGGAGUCCAUCAUCCACACAAGAACAUCAUGACGGCCGACAGGCCGCUUGAGCUACUCCACAUGGAUCUAUUCGGCCCGAUUGCUUACAUAAGCAUCGGCAGGAGUAAGUAUUGUCUUGUAAUAGUGGAUGAUUAUUCUCGCUUCACUUGGGUAUUCUUCUUACAGGAAAAAUCUCAAACCCAAGAGACUUUAAAGGGGUUCUUGAGACGGGCUCAAAAUGAGUUCGGCUUAAGGAUCAAGAAAAUAAGAAGCGACAACGGGACGGAGUUCAAGAACUCUCAAAUUGAAGGCUUCCUUGAGGAGGAGGGCAUCAAGCAUGAGUUCUCUUCCCCCUACACACCUCAACAAAAUGGUGUAGUGGAGAGAAAGAAUCGAACUCUAUUGGACAUGGCAAGAACCAUGCUUGAUGAGUACAAGACACCGGACCGGUUUUGGGCCGAAGCGGUCAGCACCGCCUGCUACGCCAUCAAUCGGUUAUAUCUUCACCGAAUCCUCAAGAAGACAUCCUAUGAACUCCUAACCGGUAAAAAGCCCAACAUUUCAUACUUUAGAGUUUUUGGUAGCAAAUGCUUUAUUCUUGUUAAAAGAGGUAGAAAAUCUAAAUUUGCUCCUAAAACUGUAGAAGGCUUUUUACUUGGUUAUGACUCAAACACAAGGGCAUAUAGAGUCUUUAACAAGUCCACUGGACUAGUUGAAGUCUCAUGUGACGUUGUGUUUGAUGAAACUAACGGCUCUCAAGUAGAGCAAGUUGAUCUUGAUGAAAUAGGUAAUGAAGAGGCUCCGGGCAUCGCGCUAAGGAACAUGUCCAUUGGGGAUGUGUGUCCUAGGGAAUCCGAAGAGCCUCCAAGUGCACAAGAUCAACCAUCCUCCACCACGCAAGCAUCUCCACCAACUCAAAAUGAGGAUGAGGCUCAAGUUGAUGAAGGGCAAAAUCAAGAAGAUGAGCCACCUCAAGAUGAUGGCAAUGAUCAAGGGGGAGAUGCAAAUGAUCAAGAAAAGGAGGAUGAGGAAGAACCAAGGCCGCCACACCCAAGAGUCCACCAAGCAAUCCAACGAGAUCACCCCGUCGACACCAUCCUCGGCGACAUUCAUAAGGGGGUAACCACUCGAUCUCGUGUUGCACAUUUUUGUGAACAUUACUCUUUUGUUUCCUCUAUUGAGCCACACAGGGUAGAGGAAGCACUUCAAGAUUCGGAUUGGGUGAUGGCGAUGCAAGAGGAGCUCAACAAUUUCACAAGGAACGAGGUAUGGCAUUUAGUUCCACGUCCUAACCAAAAUGUUGUAGGAACCAAAUGGGUCUUCCGCAACAAGCAAGAUGAGCAUGGUGUGGUGACAAGGAACAAAGCACGACUUGUGGCCAAGGGAUAUUCCCAAGUCGAAGGUUUGGAUUUCGGUGAAACCUAUGCACCCGUAGCUAGGCUUGAGUCAAUUCGCAUAUUAUUGGCCUAUGCUACUUACCAUGGCUUUAAGCUUUAUCAAAUGGACGUGAAAAGUGCCUUCCUCAACGGACCAAUCAAGGAAGAGGUCUAUGUUGAGCAACCUCCCGGCUUUGAAGACAGUGAGUACCCUAACCAUGUCUAUAGGCUCUCUAAGGCGCUUUAUGGGCUCAAGCAAGCCCCAAGAGCAUGGUAUGAAUGCCUUAGAGAUUUUCUUAUUGCAAAUGGCUUCAAAGUCGGCAAGGCCGAUCCUACUUUGUUCACUAAAACUCUUGACAGUGAUUUGUUCGUAUGCCAAAUUUAUGUUGAUGAUAUUAUAUUUGGGUCUACUAACGAAUCUACAUGUGAAGAAUUUAGUAGGAUCAUGACAAAGAAAUUCGAGAUGUCUAUGAUGGGGGAGUUGAAGUAUUUUCUAGGAUUUCAAGUCAAGCAACUCCAAGAGGGCACCUUCAUUAGCCAAACCAAGUAUACUCAAGACAUUCUUUGCAAAUUUGGAAUGAAGGAUGCCAAGCCCAUCAAAACACCCAUGGGAACCAAUGGGCAUCUCGACCUCGACACGGGAGGUAAGUCCGUGGAUCAAAAGGUAUACCGGUCGAUGAUAGGUUCCUUACUCUAUUUAUGUGCUUCUCGACCGGAUAUUAUGCUUUCCGUUUGCAUGUGUGCAAGAUUCCAAUCCGACCCUAAGGAAUCCCACCUUACGGCCGUAAAACGAAUCUUGAGAUAUUUGGCUUAUACUCCUAAGUUUGGGCUUUGGUACCCUCGGGGAUCCACAUUUGAUUUGAUUGGUUAUUCGGAUGCCGAUUGGGCAGGGUGCAAAAUUAAUAGGAAGAGCACAUCGGGGACUUGCCAAUUCUUGGGAAGAUCCUUGGUGUCUUGGGCUUCAAAGAAGCAAAAUUCGGUCGCUCUUUCCACCGCCGAAGCCGAGUACAUUGCCGCAGGCCAUUGUUGCGCGCAAUUGCUUUGGAUGAGGCAAACCCUGCGGGACUACGGUUACAAAUUAACCAAAGUCCCUUUGCUAUGUGAUAAUGAGAGUGCAAUCAAAAUGGCCGACAAUCCCGUCGAGCAUAGCCGCACUAAGCACACAGCCAUUCGGUAUCAUUUUCUUAGGGAUCACCAACAAAAGGGAGAUAUCGAGAUUUCUUACAUUAACACUAAAGAUCAAUUAGCCGAUAUCUUCACCAAGCCUCUUGAUGAACAAUCUUUUACCAGACUUAGGCAUGAGCUCAAUAUUCUUGAUUCUUGUAACACCCCGUCCAAUCCCUGGACCGGGGUACUUACUCCUGGCAGCUCUCUAGGAUCAUAUAUUGUCCCCACAGACCAACACGAGUCUUUUGUGCGCACUUUGUCCUCACUCAUGCGCACCCGAGAAAACUUCUCGGUCGGUCACCCAUCCCAAAUUGCUCCAAGCCAAGCACGCUUAACUUGGAGGUUCUUUCGAGAUAGGCUUCCGAAAAAGAAGAUGCACCUUGUUGGUAUGAUUACACUAUUAAUUCUAUUUAGCCUUGGGCCAGGACAUCCCAUCCCAGGGGCCAGGAUAUCACAAUCCACCCCCCUUAGAAGACCGACGUCCUUGUCGGUCAACCCCAAUCCAGGAACCUCCCCUCUUGGCCACGUCUGUAUGUCUAGUGUCGUCAUAUGCCAUGCCAUGUGACCACUCCGGGCCCACAUGCGCCAUGCGCCAUAUACCUGAACCCCCUAGCCCACACACACCCGUGAAACCGCGAGGGUCGGCUCUGAUACCACUUGUAACACCCCGUCCAAUCCCUGGACCGGGGUACUUACUCCUGGCAGCUCUCUAGGAUCAUAUAUUGUCCCCACAGACCAACACGAGUCUUUUGUGCGCACUUUGUCCUCACUCAUGCGCACCCGAGAAAACUUCUCGGUCGGUCACCCAUCCCAAAUUGCUCCAAGCCAAGCACGCUUAACUUGGAGGUUCUUUCGAGAUAGGCUUCCGAAAAAGAAGAUGCACCUUGUUGGUAUGAUUACACUAUUAAUUCUAUUUAGCCUUGGGCCAGGACAUCCCAUCCCAGGGGCCAGGAUAUCACAAUUCUAGAAAUUUCUUUUGCUAGCUUGCACACAUAGCUCAUUUGAAUACCUUUGAUCAUAUCUCUUUUAUAUGCUAUGACUAAUGUGCUUUCAAGUCUAUUUCAAACCAAGUCAUAGGUAUAUUGAAAGGGAAUUGGAGUCUUCGGCGAAGACAAAGGCUUCCACUCCGUAACUCAUCCUUCGCCAUCGCUCCAAGAAAAGGACCUUGUCUUUGGGGGAGAGAGUAAAAGCCCAAAGCAAAAGGACCGGACUUCGUCUUUGGUAUAAUCUUAACUCAUUUACUUAUGACCAAAGGGGAAGAAAUUACUUUGACGGCUCUAAUGAUUCCGUUUUUGGCGAUUCAUGCCAAAAAGGGGGAGAAAUGAGCCCAAAGCAAAAGGACCGCACCACCACCAAUUUCAAAAACUUAGUACUUUCCAAAAGUAUUUUUCAAUUGGUAUCCUAUUGUGUUCAAAAAGGGGAGAAAGUAGUAUUUCAAAAAUGGUAUAUCAAAACCCUCUUGAACACUAAGAGGAGUAUCUCAUUUAGGGGGAGUUUUGUUAAGUCAAAGGAAAAGCCUUUGAAACAAGGGGAGAAAAUUUCAAAUCUUGAAAAUGCUUUGCAAACUCUUAUUCAUUUACCUUUUGACUAUUUGCAAAAGACCUUUGAAAUGGAUUUACAAAAGGAUUUGCAAAAACAAAACAUGUGGUGCAAACGUGGUCCUAAAUGUUAAAUAAGAAAGAAACAUUCCAUGCAUAUCUUGUAAGUAGUUUUAUUGGCUCAAUUCCAAGCAACCUUUACACUUACAUUAUGCAAACUAGUUCAAUUAUGCACUUCUAUAUUUGCUUUGGUUUGUGUUGGCAUCAAUCACCAAAAAGGGGGAGAUUGAAAGGGAAUUAGGCUUACACCUAGUUCCCAAAUAAUUUUGGUGGUUGAAUUGCCCAACACAAAUAAUCGGACUAACUAGUUUGCCCAAGUGUAUAGAUUAUACAGGUGUAAAAGGUUCACACUCAGCCAAUAAAAAGACCAAGUUUUGGAUUCAACAAAGGAGCAAAAGGGGCAACCGAAGGCACCCCUGGUCUGGCGCACCGGACUGUCCGGUGCGCCACCGGACAUGUCCGGUGCACCAGGGGGACUCAGUCUCAAACUCGCCACCUUCGGGAAUUCCCUGAGGCGACUCGGCUAUAAUUCACCACCGGACAGUGUCCGGUGCGCCAAAGGAGGUCGGCCUCAGGAACUCGCCUGCUUCGGGAAACUCCAACGGCUAGUCCGCUAAAAUUCACCGGACUGUCCGGUGUGCACCGGACUGUCCGGUGCGACUCCGGAGCAACGGUCAUCUCCGCGCCAACGGCUCUCUGCCGCGCAUUUAAUGCGCGCUCUGCGCGCGCAGGAGUCAGGAUCGCCCAUGCUGGCACACCGGACAGCAAACAGUACAUGUCCGGUGUGCACCGGACACCCAGGCGGGCCCACAAGUCAGAAGCUCCAACGGUCAGAAUCCAACGGCAGUGAUGACGUGGCAGGGGGCACCGGACUGUCCGGUGUGCACCGGACUGUCCGGUGCGCCAUCGAGCAGACAGCCUCCCAACGGCCACUUUUGGUGGUUGGGGCUAUAAAUACCCCAACCACCCCACCAUUCAUUGCAUCCAAGUUUUUCACUUCCUAACUACUACAAGAGCUCUAGCAUUCAAUUCUAGACACACCAAAGAGAUCAAAUCCUCUCCAAUUCCACACAAAGCCCUAGCGACUAGUGAGAGUGAUUUGCCGUGUUCAUUUAAGCUCUUGCGCUUGGAUUGCUUCUUUUCUUUCUCACUUGUUCUUGUGAUCAAUACUCCAUUGUAAUCAAGGCAAGAGGCACCAAUUGUGUGGUGGCCCUUGCGGGGAAGUUUUGUUCCCGGCUUUGAUUUGAGAAGAGAAGCUCACUCGGUCCGAGGGACCGUUUGAGAGAGGGAAGGGUUGAAAGAGACCCGGCCUUUGUGGCCUCCUCAACGGGGAGUAGGUUUGAGAGAACCGAACCUCGAUAAAACAAAUCCGUGUGUCACACUUCAUUAUUUGCUCGCGAUUUGUUUUGCGCCCUCUCUCGCGGACUCGUUUAUAUUUCUGACGCUAACCCGGCUUGUAGUUGUGUUUAUAUUUGUAAAUUUCAGUUUCGCCCUAUUCACCCCCCCUCUAGGCGACUAUCACCUCCCGCAUUACACAUUUAUACCUAAGGGUUGACUAGCUUUUGUUAUCCAUGUCCUUGUUUACCUAUUUGGGUUGGAUUAUUAUUGUUUAGCUUUAUGCUAUUGCUCAACUCUAACCAAUGAACAUGAUGAGAAUUAUCAAUGAUACGUUGUUUUCCCUUCUUUUAUUAUGAUGUUAUACUUGUGGUCUUCAAGGGGGCUCGAGCGGUUUCUCGAGUGCCUCUCCGUAAGGACCUGUUCGUUGGAUGACCGCCCAGGAAAACAGUGCAACCAUGAGGAUGGAAUGGGGUGCCCUUAGCUGAAUAAUUAGAGGAUCCGGGGUGUAGUUCGCUUAGCCGUCGUGCCGUCAAUGGGGCUCGGUGUAUGCGGCUUGCGCUGCCAAGCUUGGGUUCGCCCCUUGGGGAGGAGUGCGGUGCAUUUAGGAAACCUAACGGGCGACUACAACCCCGAGGAAUCUUUGUAAAGGCUACGUAGUGAUGCCCUGCUGGACCACCUAGGUAGUGGCCAAUGGGGAGUAGCUCUCUCCGGGCAGAAAGGGAAUCACAGCUUGUGGGUAAAUUGCACAACCUCUGCAGAGUGUUAGAAAACUGAUAUAUCAGCCGUGCUCGCGGUUAUGAGCGGCCAAGGGAGCUCUAGUGAUUAGUGGUACUUGAUCAGAGAUGUUCGGUUUGCAGGUGGCAAUGAGAUUGAUGGUUCUUGGUUUUGACUCUGGUAAUGGUAAGUGGUACUCUUUCCGUUUGGAAAGGAGUACAUUUGGGUUAAUAACGUGGGUUAAUUCUAAAACUUGACUUUCUCUACUAGUAAUAAUAAUCUGACCAACUAAAAGCAACUGCUUGACUUACCCCCACAUAAAGCUAGUCCACUACAGCCAAACAGGAUACUUACUGAGUAUGUUGAUGUCUAAUCACCCUUGCUCUACACACCAAACCCCCCCAUCCCCAGGUUGUCAGCAUUGCAACCACUGCUUAGGAGAAGAUGAAGCCGUGGAAGGAGACUUCCAGGAGUUCCAAGACUACGACGAGUUUUAGGCAUGGGUUAGCGGCAACCCCCUAGUCGGCUGCCUGUGAAGGCCGCGUUUAUCUACGUUUUGUUUUCGCACUUUGAUUAUUGUAAAGACUAUGUGGAUGUCUCAGACAUAUGAUGUAAUCGACUAUUAUUUCCCUUUUUAAUACUAUUUGAGCACUGUGUGAUGAUG
RNAcentral lists this long non-coding RNA (25000 nucleotides) under Zea mays. Its description in RNAcentral is "long non-coding RNA (ZMAY_LNC003684)". The record is from RNAcentral. Lineage: Eukaryota; Viridiplantae; Streptophyta; Magnoliopsida; Poales; Poaceae.